CGGGGGCCGCGCGGGCCGGGAGUUGGGUGGGCUGGGGGACAGGCGCGCCCGCGCCGCCCGCUCCAGCUGGGCUAGUGCUGCACAUUCCGGCCAGCCCCUCCUCAAGACCCCAUUCCCAAGCCCCUUCUCAGCUCCCUCGGGCCGGCAGAGCGGCUCUGAUCAGAGUCUUGCUCAGUCGCCCAGGCUGUAGUGCAGUGGCACGAUCUCAGCUCACUGCAGCCGCCACCUCCCAGGUUCAAGCGAUUCUCCUGCCUCAGCCUCCCGAGUAGCUGAGACUACAGAGCACCAUGGCCUGGCAAGGUCCGACGUUUUCCAAGGAUCCUGGCUGAGCUCCUGUGGAAGCUGCUUCUUACACUGAUGUGGUCCCUCGGCUGGCAGGCCCUUCUGCGGCCAACCAGGUGACACCUGGCAGUUAUGAGGGACAGGUAGGAGAGGAUGGGCUUUCCAUCAAAAAAAGAAAAAAAAAAGGUAAGUUUUUCCAAACUGCUUUUCUUUCAAAUUUUAAUCUUAAGACUAACCUACAUUAAUUUCUUAUUUUUAUCUCAUAAAGUCCAGAAUUUCUGAUAAUUUCAGUUCUUUUCCAGAGUGCAAAGAAGCAUUGGCUCUUCAGGUAUUAUGUUUAACAUUUUGCAGGAAUUGCUUUACUCUAUAGACAAAUAAACUACAAAUUUGAGACUUA
RNAcentral lists this non-coding RNA (679 nucleotides) under Pan troglodytes (chimpanzee). Lineage: Eukaryota; Metazoa; Chordata; Mammalia; Primates; Hominidae. The record is from RNAcentral.